UUAUGGCUCAGGAUGAACGCCAGCUACAGGCUUAACACAUGCAAGUCGAGGGGCAGCAUGAUCGAAGCUUGCUUGAUGAUGGCGACCGGCGCACGGGUGAGUAACGCGUAUCCAACCUUCCCUGUAGUAGAGGAUAGCCCGGCGAAAGUCGGAUUAAUACUCUAUGUUGUAUUUAGAAGACAUCUGAAGAAUACCAAAGGUUUACCGCUAUAGGAUGGGGAUGCGUCUGAUUAGGUUGUUGGCGGGGUAACGGCCCACCAAGCCUACGAUCAGUAGGGGUUCUGAGAGGAAGGUCCCCCACAUUGGAACUGAGACACGGUCCAAACUCCUACGGGAGGCAGCAGUGAGGAAUAUUGGUCAAUGGACGUAAGUCUGAACCAGCCAAGUAGCGUGCAGGAUGACGGCCCUAUGGGUUGUAAACUGCUUUUAUAUAGGGAUAAAGUGCACUACGUGUAGUGUUUUGUAGGUACUAUAUGAAUAAGGACCGGCUAAUUCCGUGCCAGCCGCGGC
Molecule: ribosomal RNA, 510 nt
Filed under: uncultured bacterium
Lineage: Bacteria
Description: bacterial SSU rRNA
Rfam family: Bacterial small subunit ribosomal RNA
Source: RNAcentral